Non-coding RNA from Picea glauca (white spruce), 90 nucleotides. The record is from Rfam. Lineage: Eukaryota; Viridiplantae; Streptophyta; Pinopsida; Pinales; Pinaceae.
GCAUGGCUACAACAUAGCAUUAAUGCACUGGAUCCCAUUAGAACUUCGCAAUUAAGCGCGCUCAGGCUAGAGUAGUACUAGGAUGGUUGA